CCCGCUGAACUUAAGCAUAUCAAUAAGCGGAGGAAAAGAAACUAACAAGGAUUCCCCUAGUAACUGCGAGUGAAGCGGGAAAAGCUCAAAUUUAAAAUCUGGUGGUCUUUGGCCAUCCGAGUUGUAAUUUAGAGAAGUGUCUUCCGCGCUGGACCAUGCACAAGUCUCCUGGAAUGGAGCGUCAUAGAGGGUGAGAAUCCCGUCUUUGGCAUGGACACACCAGGGCUUCUGUGAUGCGCUCUCGAAGAGUCGAGUUGUUUGGGAAUGCAGCUCAAAAUGGGUGGUGAACUCCAUCUAAAGCUAAAUAUUGGCGAGAGACCGAUAGCGAACAAGUACCGUGAGGGAAAGAUGAAAAGCACUUUGGAAAGAGAGUGAAACAGUACGUGAAAUUGUUGAAAGGGAAACGCUUGAAGUCAGUCGCGUCGGCCGAGACUCAGCCUUGCCUCGGCUUGGUGUAUUUCUUGGCCCGACGGGUCAGCAUCAAUUUUGACCAGUGGAGAAAGGUCAGGGGAAUGUGGCAUCUUCGGAUGUGUUAUAGCCCUUGGUUGCAUACAUUGGUUGGGAUUGAGGAACUCAGCACGCCGCAAGGCCGGGUAACUAUUACCACGAUCGUGCUUAGGAUGCUGGCAUAAUGGCUUUAAUCGACCCGUCUUGAAACACGG
This 662-nucleotide ribosomal RNA is filed under the name uncultured fungus. RNAcentral describes it as "eukaryotic LSU rRNA". It matches the Rfam family "Eukaryotic large subunit ribosomal RNA", at positions 24 to 664 of the family's 3401-position model. The record is from RNAcentral. Lineage: Eukaryota; Fungi.